GAAUUUUAUAUAAAAGAAAUUAUAAAUAAAAAUUGAGUUAAUUUUUAAAUUAGUUUUUUAAUAUUUAAUUGGGAGGAUUAUUAAAUUUUUAUAACUUUAAUUAAUUAUUAUACGGAUGAGUAGAUGUUAUUGUUUGAAUGAUAAGUAUAUAUUUUAUUAGAAUUAAUUACCUUAGGGAUAACAGCAUAAUGUUUUUAGAUAGUUCAUAUAUAUAAAAAUGAUUGU
This 225-nucleotide ribosomal RNA is filed under the name Acanthognathus ocellatus. Its description in RNAcentral is "partial large subunit ribosomal RNA". Lineage: Eukaryota; Metazoa; Arthropoda; Insecta; Hymenoptera; Formicidae. The record is from RNAcentral.